Molecule: ribosomal RNA, 449 nt
Filed under: uncultured bacterium
Lineage: Bacteria
Description: partial 16S ribosomal RNA
Rfam family: Bacterial small subunit ribosomal RNA
Source: RNAcentral
CCUACGGGGGGCUGCAGUGGGGAAUAUUGGACAAUGGGGGAAACCCUGAUCCAGCAAUGCCGCGUGUGUGAAGAAGGCCUGCGGGUUGUAAAGCACUUUCGGUUGGGAAGAAAAGUUUGGCGCCAAUACCGCCGAACCUUGACGUUACUGACAGAAGAAGCACCGGCUACCUCUGUGCCAGCAGCCGCGGUAAUACAGAGGGAAUAACCGGUAGUCGGAAUUGCUGGGCGGGAAGCGCGCGUAGGUGGUGAAAUCCCCGGGCUUAACCUGGGAACUGCAUUCGAUACUACAUGGCUAGAGUAUGGUAGAGGGAAGUGGAAUUUCCGGUGUAGCGGUGAAAUGCGUAGAUAUCGGAAGGAACACCAAUGGCGAAGGCAGCUUCCUGGACUAAUACUGACACUGAGGCACGAAAGCGUGGGUAGCAAACAGGAUUAGAUACCCGAGUAGUC